This 212-nucleotide unclassified non-coding RNA is filed under the name Hevea brasiliensis (rubber tree). The record is from RNAcentral. Lineage: Eukaryota; Viridiplantae; Streptophyta; Magnoliopsida; Malpighiales; Euphorbiaceae.
AAGACAUUUACGAGGAACUUGGUAAGUUCGGUGAGAUCGAGAGCCUUAAUGUCUGUGAUAAUCUCGCAGACCACAUGAUUGGCAAUGUCUACGUUCAGUUUAGGGAGGAGGACCAGGCUGCUGCCGCACUCCAAGCGUUGCAAGGACGGUUCUACUCUGGUCGACCCAUUAUCGCAGAUUUUUCUCCUGUGACUGAUUUCCGCGAAGCAACG